AUAUAUAAUAUACUAUAUUUUAUUCUACAUAUUAUAUAAACCUGCAUAGUAGUGGCGGUUACAGUAAAUUUACCAUGUAUAUCCAAAAUUCUAAAAUCUGUGGGCACCCACGACCCGUUUCACAAUAUUACCCAGUCUACAGAAUUUAAUUGUUUUCAUUGUGUUUUUUGUAACUAUACAUAUUGUAGCAUUUUACAUAGCCAUUCAAACACACGGCAAACACCUACCCACUUACCCACCAAUACCAUGUGUAUCUGUUGAUACACUUGAGGUAUAGGAUAGCCGCCACUGAUACAUAAACUGCUAAACAUAUAUUUUAACUAGUCUAACUUGUAAUAAUACUAUCCCUUUUAUAACAAUAUAGAUACCUACCUACAUUUAAAGUGUUUGUAUAUUUAAUUUUUUUCAGUUAUUAUCAUAUUCAUAUAUUAUUAUACAAUAUAAUAAUCCAAUAAUCCCAAGCUAUAAAGCAAUAAUUACAGAACAAACAUUAGGAAUAUUUUAUAUCGAAUAAGAGCACCGAUAUAAAUAUACUUCUAACCCAAAGACACUUAUGUUUGCAGCAGUUAUUUGUGUUAACCAAAAAUCUUGUAUGUAGCCAAAUAAAAAUGCUUGUAAGCGUUCGCGAAUUGCUGGUUGUUGGUUAACAUAAUCUACAAUUAUUCGAAAACCAUCAAACAUUGUGAAACUGCAAUUCAUUUGGGGUUCAGCAGGAAGAUGAGCCUCAACACUUGUCUGAAAUAGAUGGAAUAGACUGUUCAUACUUCUUUUGCAGUACCGGAUAACAGACUAUAUAAUUUGAUUGAGUACUCAGUUGCUCAAAAAU
Long non-coding RNA from Myzus persicae (green peach aphid), 826 nucleotides. RefSeq lists it as uncharacterized. The record is from RefSeq and is a predicted model, not a curated record. The transcript has 4 exons. NCBI's taxonomy places the organism in Eukaryota, Metazoa, Arthropoda, Insecta, Hemiptera, Aphididae.